This 231-nucleotide long non-coding RNA is filed under the name Spirodela polyrhiza (greater duckweed). Its description in RNAcentral is "long non-coding RNA (SPOL_LNC001777)". Lineage: Eukaryota; Viridiplantae; Streptophyta; Magnoliopsida; Alismatales; Araceae. The record is from RNAcentral.
UUAUAUUUCCUAUUUUAUUCUGCUUUAGGUUUCUUACUAUUUCUAUUUUUAUUUCUCUCUUAUUUUCAAGUUUUUAUUGAAAUUAAAAUGUUGGUACAUUUUUAUUUUCUAUAACGUAUUUAAAGACACCACAUGCAGCCCAAGUGACAAUUAAAAUUUUUUUAUUGAUCCAUUUCAGAGUUCCUUCCUCUUUAGAGGUUCUUUAUCUUCUAGUAGUGGAUUUAAUUAUCC